GGUGCUGUGGUGUAGUAGGUUAACGCCCUGGCCUGAAGCGCCAGCAUCCGACAUGGGUGUCGGUUCGAGACCCAGCUGCUCCA
This 83-nucleotide transfer RNA is filed under the name Oryctolagus cuniculus (rabbit). It matches the Rfam family "tRNA". Rfam says of the family: Transfer RNA (tRNA) molecules are approximately 80 nucleotides in length. Their secondary structure includes four short double-helical elements and three loops (D, anti-codon, and T loops). Further hydrogen bonds mediate the characteristic L-shaped molecular structure. tRNAs have two regions of fundamental functional importance: the anti-codon, which is responsible for specific mRNA codon recognition, and the 3' end, to which the tRNAs corresponding amino acid is attached (by aminoacyl-tRNA synthetases). tRNAs cope with the degeneracy of the genetic code in two manners: having more than one tRNA (with a specific anti-codon) for a particular amino acid; and 'wobble' base-pairing, i.e. permitting non-standard base-pairing at the 3rd anti-codon position. The record is from Rfam by way of RNAcentral. Lineage: Eukaryota; Metazoa; Chordata; Mammalia; Lagomorpha; Leporidae.